Molecule: ribosomal RNA, 200 nt
Filed under: uncultured bacterium
Lineage: Bacteria
Description: partial 16S ribosomal RNA
Rfam family: Bacterial small subunit ribosomal RNA
Source: RNAcentral
AGUGAACGCUGGCGGUAGGCCUAACACAUGCAAGUCGAACGGCAGCACAGUAAGAGCUUGCUCUUACGGGUGGCGAGUGGCGGACGGGUGAGGAAUACAUCGGAAUCUACUUUUUCGUGGGGGAUAACGUAGGGAAACUUACGCUAAUACCGCAUACGACCUACGGGUGAAAGCAGGGGAUCUUCGGACCUUGCGCGAUU